UCCAGACGGCCAGUCUGUGCCACAGAGUGA
This 30-nucleotide non-coding RNA is filed under the name Homo sapiens (human). Lineage: Eukaryota; Metazoa; Chordata; Mammalia; Primates; Hominidae. The record is from RNAcentral.